This 460-nucleotide ribosomal RNA is filed under the name uncultured Treponema sp. Its description in RNAcentral is "bacterial SSU rRNA". It matches the Rfam family "Bacterial small subunit ribosomal RNA", at positions 341 to 792 of the family's 1533-position model. Lineage: Bacteria; Pseudomonadati; Spirochaetota; Spirochaetia; Treponematales; Treponemataceae. The record is from RNAcentral.
ACGGGAGGCAGCAGCUAAGAAUAUUCCGCAAUGGACGAAAGUCUGACGGAGCGACGCCGCGUGGAUGAUGAAGGUCGGAAGAUUGUAAAAUCCUUUUAUAACUGAGGAAUAAGUAUGGUGAGAGAAACGCCAUAUGGUGACUGUAGGUUAUGAAUAAGCAACGGCUAAUUACGUGCCAGCAGCCGCGGUAACACGUAAGUUGCGAGCGUUGUUCGGAAUUAUUGGGCGUAAAGGGCAUGUAGGCGGUUUUGCAAGCUUGGUGUGAAAUCUCGGAGCUCAACUCCGAAAUUGCGUUGAGAACUGCAUGACUGGAGUCACUGAGGGGCAAUCAGAAUUCCUGGUGUAGGGGUGAAAUCUGUAGAUAUCAGGAAGAAUACCAAUGGCGAAGGCAGGUUACCAGCAGAUGACUGACGCUGAGGUGCGAAGGUGCGGGGAGCAAACAGGAUUAGAUACCCUGGUA